This 419-nucleotide ribosomal RNA is filed under the name Klebsiella pneumoniae. RNAcentral describes it as "bacterial LSU rRNA". It matches the Rfam family "Bacterial large subunit ribosomal RNA", at positions 398 to 821 of the family's 2925-position model. Lineage: Bacteria; Pseudomonadati; Pseudomonadota; Gammaproteobacteria; Enterobacterales; Enterobacteriaceae. The record is from RNAcentral.
UGUGAACUCGAAGAGUAGGGCGGGACACGUGGUAUCCUGUCUGAAUAUGGGGGGACCAUCCUCCAAGGCUAAAUACUCCUGACUGACCGAUAGUGAACCAGUACCGUGAGGGAAAGGCGAAAAGAACCCCGGCGAGGGGAGUGAAAAAGAACCUGAAACCGUGUACGUACAAGCAGUGGGAGCACCUUCGGGUGUGACUGCGUACCUUUUGUAUAAUGGGUCAGCGACUUAUAUUCUGUAGCAAGGUUAACCGUAUAGGGGAGCCGCAGGGAAACCGAGUCUUAACUGGGCGUUAAGUUGCAGGGUAUAGACCCGAAACCCGGUGAUCUAGCCAUGGGCAGGUUGAAGGUUGGGUAACACUAACUGGAGGACCGAACCGACUAAUGUUGAAAAAUUAGCGGAUGACUUGUGGCUGGGGG